Molecule: ribosomal RNA, 500 nt
Filed under: uncultured bacterium
Lineage: Bacteria
Description: partial 16S ribosomal RNA
Rfam family: Bacterial small subunit ribosomal RNA
Source: RNAcentral
AUUGAACGCUGGCGGCAUGCUUUACACAUGCAAGUCGAACGGGGUUAGGGAGCUCGCUCUCUAAUCUAGUGGCGAACGGGUGAGUAAUACAUCGGAACGUACCGCGAAGUGGGGGAUAACGAGUCGAAAGAUUCGCUAAUACCGCAUAUUCUCUUUGGAGGAAAGCAGGGGAUCUUCGGACCUUGUGCUUUGCGAGCGGCCGAUGGCUGAUUAGCUAGUUGGUGAGGUAAAGGCUCACCAAGGCGACGAUCAGUAGCGGGUCUGAGAGGACGACCCGCCACACUGGGACUGAGACACGGCCCAGACUCCUACGGGAGGCAGCAGUGGGGAAUCUUGGACAAUGGGCGCAAGCCUGAUCCAGCAAUGCCGCGUGCGUGAAGAAGGCCUUCGGGUUGUAAAGCGCUUUUGUCAGGGAGCAAAGGGGUGUGGCUAGUAUCUGCACUUGUUGAGAGUACCUGAAGAAUAAGGACCGGCUAACUACGUGCCAGCCGCCGCAGUAA